AUGGCGUCGACGGCGGCUUUCGAGAAGGAUUGCCGGAUGCCGGAGGAGGCAGAGGCCGAUGCGCUGCUGGUACAGAAGGUGGGCGUGCUGCCCUUCGGGUUCUACGACGCCUUCGUGCUCCGCGACAUCCGCGUCCACGCCGUCUGGCCCAGCCGCCUCCUCUGCCACUUCACCGUCACCACCCGCCUCCUCGUGAGCCCCCCUCCCACCUGCAGCCAGAUCUAA
Molecule: ribosomal RNA, 225 nt
Filed under: Triticum aestivum (bread wheat)
Lineage: Eukaryota; Viridiplantae; Streptophyta; Magnoliopsida; Poales; Poaceae
Description: partial small subunit ribosomal RNA
Source: RNAcentral